RNAcentral lists this long non-coding RNA (229 nucleotides) under Elaeis guineensis (African oil palm). Its description in RNAcentral is "long non-coding RNA (EGUI_LNC041537)". The record is from RNAcentral. Lineage: Eukaryota; Viridiplantae; Streptophyta; Magnoliopsida; Arecales; Arecaceae.
GAUUCGAGCUCGGAUCUAUAGGUUAACCUAAUUGAUUCUAAUCAACCAAUUUGGUGUUUAAGGCAAGUCUUGGAUAGUGAUUCUUUAAUUAGUUUCAUUGUCUGACCUCGUCAAUUCGUUGGUAUCUAAAAAUAGCAGUGGAGGGACCCCCACUCAUCUUCACUAACCUGACCAUUUUAGGAGAUUAUAUUUUGUAUUAGGUUACUUGUUGACUUGAGUUCACCCAUGC